This 431-nucleotide ribosomal RNA is filed under the name Staphylococcus aureus. RNAcentral describes it as "bacterial SSU rRNA". It matches the Rfam family "Bacterial small subunit ribosomal RNA", at positions 202 to 622 of the family's 1533-position model. The record is from RNAcentral. Lineage: Bacteria; Bacillati; Bacillota; Bacilli; Caryophanales; Staphylococcaceae.
AAAGACGGUCUUGCUGUCACUUAUAGAUGGAUCCGCGCUGCAUUAGCUAGUUGGUAAGGUAACGGCUUACCAAGGCAACGAUGCAUAGCCGACCUGAGAGGGGGAUCGGCCACACUGGAACUGAGACACGGUCCAGACUCCUACGGGAGGCAGCAGUAGGGAAUCUUCCGCAAUGGGCGAAAGCCUGACGGAGCAACGCCGCGUGAGUGAUGAAGGUCUUCGGAUCGUAAAACUCUGUUAUUAGGGAAGAACAUAUGUGUAAGUAACUGUGCACAUCUUGACGGUACCUAAUCAGAAAGCCACGGCUAACUACGUGCCAGCAGCCGCGGUAAUACGUAGGUGGCAAGCGUUAUCCGGAAUUAUUGGGCGUAAAGCGCGCGUAGGCGGUUUUUUAAGUCUGAUGUGAAAGCCCACGGCUCAACCGUGGAGGG